AAAUUGAAGAGUUUGAUCAUGGCUCAGAUUGAACGCUGGCGGCAGGCCUAACACAUGCAAGUCGAACGGUAACAGGAAGCAGCUUGCUGCUUCGCUGACGAGUGGCGGACGGGUGAGUAAUGUCUGGGAAACUGCCUGAUGGAGGGGGAUAACUACUGGAAACGGUGGCUAAUACCGCAUAACGUCGCAAGACCAAAGAGGGGGACCUUCGGGCCUCUUGCCAUCAGAUGUGCCCAGAUGGGAUUAGCUAGUUGGUGAGGUAACGGCUCACCAAGGCGACGAUCCCUAGCUGGUCUGAGAGGAUGACCAGCCACACUGGAACUGAGACACGGUCCAGACUCCUACGGGAGGCAGCAGUGGGGAAUAUUGCACAAUGGGCGCAAGCCUGAUGCAGCCAUGCCGCGUGUAUGAAGAAGGCCUUCGGGUUGUAAAGUACUUUCAGCGGGGAGGAAGGUGUUGUGGUUAAUAACCGCAGCAAUUGACGUUACCCGCAGAAG
This 497-nucleotide ribosomal RNA is filed under the name Salmonella enterica. Its description in RNAcentral is "bacterial SSU rRNA". It matches the Rfam family "Bacterial small subunit ribosomal RNA", at positions 1 to 487 of the family's 1533-position model. Lineage: Bacteria; Pseudomonadati; Pseudomonadota; Gammaproteobacteria; Enterobacterales; Enterobacteriaceae. The record is from RNAcentral.